Molecule: long non-coding RNA, 1101 nt
Filed under: Macaca fascicularis (crab-eating macaque)
Lineage: Eukaryota; Metazoa; Chordata; Mammalia; Primates; Cercopithecidae
Description: lncRNA (ENSMFAG00000050073.1)
Source: RNAcentral
CGACAGGUUGGCUCUGGGCCACAUCAGAUGAAGACAUGCAGUCACCUCCUGUUUAGUCUUCUGGAUUGAUCCUGGUAAAGCAGCACCGGCCUUCAGGAAGAACAGCCUUCCUGUUCAGGAAAAAUCCACGUUUGCCUCUGUCCCCUCUUUUUGGUUUAUGAAAUCUCGUUUGCCCUCCUCCACAGCACAGCACAGGUGAGGAAAAUAGACCUCUUUGUAAUUUGGGGCCAAACCAUUCAGAACGUAUAAAAUCAGUCAUUAAAAUAGAAAUAAUUCACAUUUCUUGAUUGGUCUAUAGCAGUUUGAAGCAAAUUAGGUUGUCAUGAAGCAGCUGUCUUGGAGGUUUAUGCCAGGGCUCUGAGGCUCCCUCUGUCCCCCUGAGAAUGUAAAGGACUCCUUGAGUACCAGGGCCAGGCUACAUCCGACUUCACUCACUGGAGCCUCUCGGGGGGAAGUACUGGGGAGCACGAAAAAAUGCCAGCCUUAUUGAUGGUAAAGGCAGCACAUAAUAAAUAUUCACUUUCAUCUUCCUUCCUUCCCUCUCUAACUUCCCUAAUAUGAAAGGUAAAAAACGGGGCUAGGGGAAAGGAACUCUCAAAGGAAGAGAGAAACAGUAUAGAUCUUGGAGACUGGAGGUGAAGUGGUGGAGUUUGUGGAGUCUCUGUAGCUCCGUUGGCCUUUUUGGCGGUGUUUGGGUUCUGGGUGCCUUUGAGUGCACCCUUCCCCUCUCUCUGCCUUCUCAUGUCUGUUUGGCUGUGUGGAGGUAGUGAGGUAGUGGUUAGCGCCUGGUGGAAAAGAAGCAGAAGCUGCUGUGAAGCUCAAGGGAAAUCAUUUCUUCCUUUCUGCCAAGACAGAUCAUGAGUGCAGGGAAGGAAGCUGCACCCGAAGGCGCUGCCCACUGGAUGGGGCUAGGCUGUUCCUCUCAACGGGUGAGGAAAGGGAGAGGAGGCCCACUUCAGGCUUCAUAAACAAGGAGUGUCUGAGUUCCUGAGAAUACGAAAGGCACAUGGGAGGAUGGAACCUCAACCGUAGCAAGGUAUUGCAUAUUCUAAAAAAAUCCUUGAUAUCCCCACCUCCCAACUGGGUGUAUUGAUGACUGAA